Molecule: ribosomal RNA, 497 nt
Filed under: uncultured bacterium
Lineage: Bacteria
Description: partial 16S ribosomal RNA
Rfam family: Bacterial small subunit ribosomal RNA
Source: RNAcentral
GAUGAACGCUGGCGGCGUGCCUAAUACAUGCAAGUCGAGCGAACAGAUGGGGAGCUUGCUCCUCUGACGUUAGCGGCGGACGGGUGAGUAACACGUGGAUAACCUACCUAUAAGACUGGGAUAACUUCGGGAAACCGGAGCUAAUACCGGAUAAUAUAUUGAACCGCAUGGUUCAAUAGUGAAAGACGGUUUUGCUGUCACUUAUAGAUGGAUCCGCGCCGCAUUAGCUAGUUGGUAAGGUAACGGCUUACCAAGGCAACGAUGCGUAGCCGACCUGAGAGGGUGAUCGGCCACACUGGAACUGGGACACGGUCCAGACUCCUACGGGAGGCAGCAGUAGGGAAUCUUCCGCAAUGGGCGAAAGCCUGACGGAGCAACGCCGCGUGAGUGGUGAAGGUCUUCGGAUCGUAAAACUCUGUUAUUAGGGAAGAACAAAUGUGUAAGUAACUAUGCACGUCUUGACGGUACCUAAUCAGAAAGCCACGGCUAACUACGUG